GGAGAGAUGGCAGAGCGGUUGAAUGCGGCAGUCUCGAAAACUGUUGUACCUUCGGGUACCGGGAGUUCAAAUCUCCCUCUCUCCGCCA
Molecule: transfer RNA, 88 nt
Filed under: Candidatus Omnitrophota bacterium
Lineage: Bacteria; Pseudomonadati; Candidatus Omnitrophota
Description: Candidatus Omnitrophica bacterium tRNA-Ser
Rfam family: tRNA
About the family: Transfer RNA (tRNA) molecules are approximately 80 nucleotides in length.
Source: RNAcentral